RNAcentral lists this long non-coding RNA (843 nucleotides) under Equus caballus (horse). RNAcentral's name for it is "lncRNA (ENSECAG00000047055.1)". Lineage: Eukaryota; Metazoa; Chordata; Mammalia; Perissodactyla; Equidae. The record is from RNAcentral.
AGGUGGGCCCAAUAUAAUCACAAGGGUCCUUAUUAGAGGGAAGCAAAAAGGUCAAAGUCAGAAUAAGGAGCUGGGGGCCAGUCUGGUGGCACAGCGGUUAAGUUCGCACGUUCCGCUUCAGCGGCCUGGGGUUCGCAGGUUCGGAUCCCUAUUGCGGACAUUGGCAAAAGCCAUGCUGUGAUGGAGAAAUUCAGCCACGGGAAAAAACCCUGCCUAACAUCAUACACCUGGUGACACAGCACAGAUUCAAGCUAACAGAGAAUCAGACUGGACAGCCAUCCUUCUCACAUUUACCAUUGCAAAACUGUAACUAUCAAUCAUAACUUGGAUUUCUUAUCCCAUUUGCCUUUGAGAAGAAAAACAAAAAUCUCUUAACCAAAGCUUAAAAUUUCAUCCGAAAACGGGAAGGAGAGAAAAUAUUUUAUUUCGAUUCUUUGUGUGAAACUAACAGUUUCCGUGUCAUGAGAAGGCUGCCAAUUCUCCAGUACGUAAAGAUGCCCUAUACUAUGAAGGGUUGCCAUUUAAAGAACAACCAGGAAGCAAUUCAAUGAACAGGAAUUGUUAAGGAUAGGCUUCUUGCUGCAUUCCAAUCGUGUUCUUUUCAAAACCUGGCUUUAUGGAUUUUAAAGAAAUCCUGAGGGGGCACUCUUUUCCUUUUGUCCCGCUGAAAUAUCAUCAUUAAACUCCUCUAAAAAUGGUUUCUGAUAUGAUUCUGCUUUCCAGCUGAGGCAACAUUUUCUAUAAGUAAUAACAAAACAGCUGAACUGAGUAAAAGCAAACUGGGCAGAGAGGAAUAUCAAUCCUGAUGGGACCAAAGGGAGACCUCUGUUAACUUCUGAAGUA